AGUGAACGCUGGCGGUAGGCCUAACACAUGCAAGUCGAACGGCAGCACAGUAAGAGCUUGCUCUUACGGGUGGCGAGUGGCGGACGGGUGAGGAAUACAUCGGAAUCUACUUUUUCGUGGGGGAUAACGUAGGGAAACUUACGCUAAUACCGCAUACGACCUACGGGUGAAAGCAGGGGAUCUUCGGACCUUGCGCGAUUGAAUGAGCCGAUGUCGGAUUAGCUAGUUGGCGGGGUAAAGGCCCACCAAGGCGACGAUCCGUAGCUGGUGUGAGUGAAUGGUCGCCCACAUGAGAACGUGGACACGGUCCAUAGUCCUACGGGAGGCAGCAGUGGGGAAUAUUGGACAGUGGGGGCGAGCCUGGUCCAGCCAUACCGCGUGGGUGAAGGAGGCCUUCGGGUUGUAAAGCCCUUUUGUUGGGAAAGAAAAGCAGCAGGUUAAUACCCCGCUGUUCUGACGGUACCCAAUGAAUAAGCACCGGCUAACUUCGUG
RNAcentral lists this ribosomal RNA (492 nucleotides) under uncultured bacterium. RNAcentral describes it as "partial 16S ribosomal RNA". It matches the Rfam family "Bacterial small subunit ribosomal RNA", at positions 29 to 507 of the family's 1533-position model. The record is from RNAcentral.